Molecule: small RNA, 386 nt
Filed under: Histoplasma ohiense
Lineage: Eukaryota; Fungi; Ascomycota; Eurotiomycetes; Onygenales; Ajellomycetaceae
Description: hypothetical lncRNA
Source: RNAcentral
UUGCUCGAUUUGCUGGGGGAUUAAUUCAACCCACCAUCCCCAAAGAAAAUAUUAAACGAGUUGCCGAUGUCGCAACCGGAACAGGGGCCUGGUUGAUUGAUACCGCAAAGGAAUUAAAUAACCCAACGAAUACAUAUCAUGGGUUUGACAUAUCGGUGGCAUCGUUCCCCUCAGAAAUCCCAAGUGACACGGGAAAGAUUAGCUUCCUGGAACACAAUGCACUAGAACGCUUUCCAAUUGAGUUUCAUGGUCAAUUCGACUUGAUAAACAUCCGUAUGGUUGUACAGGCAUUCAAAUCUGCUGAAGUACCAAAGGUGAUAUCAAACUUGAUGGAAAUUCUCCGGCCUGGUGGUUUCCUUCAAUGGGGAGAUCUUCUAUGGAAGGAC